RNAcentral lists this ribosomal RNA (456 nucleotides) under uncultured bacterium. Its description in RNAcentral is "bacterial SSU rRNA". It matches the Rfam family "Bacterial small subunit ribosomal RNA", at positions 340 to 786 of the family's 1533-position model. The record is from RNAcentral.
UACGGAAGGCAGCAGUGGGGAAUAUUGCACAAUGGGCGAAAGCCUGAUGCAGCUAUGCCGCGUGUAUGAAGAAGGCCUUAGGGUUGUAAAGUACUUUUCAUCGGGGAGGAAAAACAAAACUAAUAAUUUUAUUUCUUGACGUUACCCGAAAAAGAAGCACCGGCUAACUCCGUGCCAGCAGCCGCGGUAAUACGGAGGGUGCUAGCGUUAAUCAGAAUUACUGGGCGUAAAGAGCACGUAGGUGGUUUUUUAAGUCAGAUGUGAAAUCCCUGGGCUUAACCUAGGAACUGCAUUUUGAAACUGAAAUACUAGAGUAUCGUAGAGGGAGGUAGAAUUCUAGGUGUAGCGGUGAAAUGCGUAGAUAUCUGGAGGAAUACCUGUGGCGAAAGCGGCCUCCUAAACGAAUACUGACACUGAGGGUGCGAAAGCGUGGGGAGCAAACAGGGAUUAGAUACC